GGCUCUAUAGUGUAGUGGUUAACACGCCAGCCUGUCACGUUGGUAGCCCGGGUUCGAGCCCCGGUAGAGUCG
This 72-nucleotide transfer RNA is filed under the name Bacillus phage BM-P1. Its description in RNAcentral is "tRNA-Asp". It matches the Rfam family "tRNA". From Rfam's summary of the family: Transfer RNA (tRNA) molecules are approximately 80 nucleotides in length. Lineage: Duplodnaviria; Heunggongvirae; Uroviricota; Caudoviricetes; Herelleviridae. The record is from RNAcentral.